AUUCUUCUUUUUGACCACAACGGU
RNAcentral lists this non-coding RNA (24 nucleotides) under Arabidopsis thaliana (thale cress). The record is from RNAcentral. Lineage: Eukaryota; Viridiplantae; Streptophyta; Magnoliopsida; Brassicales; Brassicaceae.